CUGAGUAUUAAGGAUGGGUACUUAUCUUUUAAAGCCAACUGCUCUGCUCUCAUCACCACCUUCAGCCUCUGGGUCUAGAGGACACUUCAGUCAUUCCCAUAAGCUCAGAUCCUUCCAAGCAACUC
Long non-coding RNA from Agelaius phoeniceus (red-winged blackbird), 125 nucleotides. RefSeq lists it as uncharacterized. The record is from RefSeq and is a predicted model, not a curated record. NCBI's taxonomy places the organism in Eukaryota, Metazoa, Chordata, Aves, Passeriformes, Icteridae.